AGAGGACCGCGCGCGCAGAGCUUGGACCAGGGGCGCGCGAUUGGAGCAAGCGGACACCUGGGGCAGAGCCGGGCUCGGGGAGAAGCUCGGCCGGACUCCAGAGCUGGCAGCUCGGCGCGGCGUGGAGAGCAGGGAGGCGGGCGCGCGCCGGGCAGGAAGGAGCUCCAAUCGGGUGCCAUGGAUUGCGGGGCAGAGAAGAAGACGCGGCGCCACGGAGAUCCGAACUGCGACCGGGACGUGCGCCAGGGAGCUCGGCCGAGCGCCAUCGGGGCGAGCCGAGGGAGAAAGAAAGGCAGGGCCGAGCUGAGGACUUGGCCGGGACGCGACGAUGGGAGCUGCCAUGGACGAGCUCACGGCCGGCGAGCAGAAGGAGCGUGCGCGAGAACCCGGCCGGACUCGAGGAUGAGCGAGCGAGCUGGACCGGACACCGGAAUGGCUGGGUGCACGGGGAAGAAGAAGAGGAGGGAGGAGCAGCGAACUGCGCUAGUGAGCAGAGGGGAUGAGAUAAGGCCGAGCGUCGGGGGAGAACGGUGGCGGAAUCUUCACCGGCGGUGAGCGGCGGCCAAAAAAUAUCACGCAGUCAGGUACGGUGGCUGGAUUUUCCUCUAGAAGCUGGAAGAAUGUCGUGCGGGAGAAGACGACGAGCGGCUAGAGGAUAAGGAGCUGCUGUCCGUAGAAAUAUACUGGGCAGAGGGCGGCGAGAAGAUGAGACCAAGAGAAAUAUUCAGAGAGCCGUAAGGGAGAUAUUGGUACAUGAAAAGAUAAGGCUUGAGAGAAAUGGAUUUUUCUUUUUCUACAGCCGAACACUUGCAUCAAAGGAAAAAUGAUCGUCUCCUUUUUUUUGUUAACACGAAUAGAUAUGUAUUCUAGGGUUAGAGUUUAAAAGAGACACAAAUAAGUUAGAUCAGAAUAUUAUUGGAUAUAAAAAGUUAGAUAGAAUUUCAUUUGGUGAAUACUCUCGAAAUUAUAUGCAUUUUUUUACCAGUUAUUUAUACCCGAAGUUUUGGAUCCGGCAAGAAACGAUAACCCGAAUCGAACUGAUUUCAACUUCGAUAUUGUAGUCAGCUUUGGUUUACAUCGAAGUCGGACAAAAAUUCAUCUGGUAAGGAAUAGAUUAAAUUACCAAGGUUCAAGUUUUAGCCUGAUGUUACCAGAUUAAGCUAAACGAUAUUGGAUUCAACUAGGAAGCGGCUCGGUUAUAAUUCUACGCCUGGUUUUUCUUGGAUUCCGGGUGUGGUCCGAUUUUAAUUUUGCAUUAACACUUUUGUCGUCGAGUUCAAAUUAAUUUGCCCGGGAUAAAAAUCAUCCGAGUGGGUCGAGCUUCCAAAUUCGUAUUCGCGCGAGCGAUGACUUUUAAAUAAUCAUCGGACGCACCAAUUUUCAGAACAAAUAUGUUCCGAACAUCACGAAAAUUUUAGGAAGAGCCCGGAUAGAUAGAAAUAAAAACGAUGUCGCGCUCGCGACCGACGAAACAGAUGCGAUAUUAAAAUCGCGAUAGGCAAAAAUAAUUAGACCUUAGUGUCCGUCUUAUUCACUAAUCUCACGUGCUUAAAUCCGUACUCGUUGUCGAGCGGAAUAUAAACACCUGGGGUGUUACAGCCCUCCCCCCUUAAAAGAAUCUCGUCCCGAGAUUCGGAGCGAAAGACUUUUAAGAGUAGAGAAGCAUGUAACCCAUGUCCAUAUCAGUGAUAAUCAUGAGACAGUUCCCGACAAGGAUGAGUGUCUCAGAAGGUUGUUUCUCUAGUGGACAUAGCAUGAAUCGCCUUAGGCUAAUUUAGAGAUGUCCAUCAAUAGAGAUGAUGUCUGCCAGAAGAACACAUAAGGUUCCAUGUGUGCAGUUUGCUUUUUCUGAUGACACUGUACUAUCUGAGUCUGUUGAGCAAGUGACUGAUAUGCGAUUUUACCCAAACAGAAUCAGAUGCAACCUCUUGGGUACAACACAUAGAAAGAGGUUUACCAACAAGGGGUCACGGUAAGUUCAUAGCACACGAGACUGGUGUGAAUGUAAAAUAACAUCACAGUUAACCCGUGUUAGCCAGAGAAUCCAUGUCCAUGAAAAAAUGAUAGAGACUCGAAAAAUCACUGGUGAAGGGAUCUGUAAAUGCUGACUUCAUGUCUAAUCCAUUUUAUCAAACACUAGGUAGGGUUCAACUUGAUCACAUAUGCUGGAAAAGCACACGUGAGACGAUCGAGGCCUGACUAGGCGAUAAUUAGGUGGUUAUUAGUCGAUUUUAACUUGAUCUUUGUAAGAACUUUCUUAGGAUGGGUUGAACCAAAGUGAGUUUAGACAACUCGAUAAAACGAUCUCUAAACUCAGCCUUCGUUCAUUGGGCAGUUACAAGUUAGUCAAAACCAACUUGUUGAACUACUUUUGACAUUGAGUAGGUCCUCUCAGUACCAUCGGUAAGCCAAGGGUUGAGAGUUUACUCAGGUUAAUAGGAGAUUUUGCACUUGGGUAGGAAUCCAUUUGGUCAGUUUGUUCAUCUGUUUCUUCAGGCAAGAUGAACUAUUCACUUGAUUAGGAAAUACAUGGAUUAAUGAAAGAGCGAAUGAACAAACUCCUGCAUCUCAGCAGCAGGGAAAAUCAAUCUCCAUUUUGAGAGCUAAUUAGUUGUUUUUCAACACUAAAAAGCUCCUAGGCUUCACCUUUACACAAAGGAUGCAAAGGGAAUGUGUAUGUGUGAAGUCACUAUCAAAGUCAAGGAAAGAAACCACACAUGAAAGUGGUAUGCCUUUUUGAUCCAACAGAUAUGAUAGAUGUUGCUUGAUCACUUCGCAAACAACAUAAAUCAUUUCAAGGAAGUAGGGUACAGAAGAUAACAUAUCAGUGUAGUUCCAUAAUGGAUCAUGACUAGAGACCUUGAUACCAGCAUCUAACGAGUAGCACAGUCAUGUGUGCGCAUUCACAGGAGGCUCUCAGUUUCGCUGCGGCACCAUAAGUCAUUAACCAUGACACCAUCACCGAACUGGCGCCAAUAAUGAGUCCCACGUAGCGAAGACAGAUUGUGCCAAGAUAACACAUUGACAUAGUCUCAUAAUGGAUUACAAUUACUAACAGUGAUACCAGCGCGUGCCGAGCAGCACGACCAUGUGUGCGCACACAUAGAAGGCCCUCGAUUUCGUCACGGCACCACCAGUUUUAGUCAUAACACCAUUACUAGAUGUAACCAAUAAGAAAUCUCGCGCGACAUCAAUGGAUUGGGCAAGGGUGACAAUAUACAAAGAGACUCUACCUGUCAAAACGGUUACAAGUAGAGAACCAAAUAGACCAUGGCCCGAUGAAAUAAACAAGGCAUGGCCAUAACCUAAAUUUGAUGGAAAAAAGUACGAUGGGAGACUGUUAUCUCAGCCCAAGCAUAUUUCUAUGCCCAUCAUAGAGAUUACAAGGUCAAGGAUUAAGUUGGUAUGCCUUCGAUAGGUAUGGGAAAACCAAAGGCAUCAAAUUCAAGGAAAUGAUCGAACAGGUCUUUCCUGAGUUAGGUUGAAAAAGCAACAUGGCGAUCCUUAAGAACAGGCAAACUGGAAUAGAGACAUCAGCUUGCACAAAUCGAAUAAGGGCAUGGUCUAGGAUGGAGACAUGACUCGAAAUUCUUGUUUUAAGCUGGGUACACUUUAGGUCCAACAAAGUAAUUAUCUAGGCAUUUAUUUUUUUAUGUGUUUGGUCAUGGAGUGAUGACGGAAAAAUCAACUUUGGUCAUGGUUCACCAACUAAGAACAUGGCCUAGAUUUGGGUUUAGGCAAACAAGUCACUAACCUUCUAUCGACACAUCAAGCACAAGAACAAACAUCAUAUAAGACCUUAACAGGUUACCUAAGAAUGGAGGACAGCUAUCUCAUCGAAGUUCAUAAUACCACAUUACACCACAUUAUUUACAAUCAUUGGCUACUGGAAUAAAGAUGAGAGAAGCAUUUUGGGUGUAUAGGUGACAAACAUGAUGCAACAAUCAGGGUGCAUGCUCGUCUUAUUCGUCCUCAUGAGUUUUUGCCAACAUAAUGUGGCAAUAACGUUCUAUAUCGGUGGCAUACUUACGACUCUCACGGUAUUUUGCUAGUCGUCAACUACACAUACGUUUUCGAGGUUAGUGUACCUGCAGAAAAAUCCAUCAUAGCCUAAUUUCCCAAUGAUGCAGUUCACACAUGACAGUUUAUCACAGUUUAUACUCCAUAUAUUGCUAUAUGGAGGCCAGCUCAUCAUUAAGCGCCGAGCCAUGCAUAGGCGCCGUUGUCACACUUUAACCAUAGGGCAACUCAUUAUGGUAACUCACCUUCUUACCUGAGCGUAGGUGUGUCGUUACAAGUACAUUACACUUCUCAGUAUUCCCAUGUCUGUAUACCCAUACACAUUCAUGGGGUACUGAUUCCCAGAAAAGUAAAUACUCCACAUCGCAGCCUUCAUAUAUACAUAUGUGGAACAUGUACAUAAUCAAGCGCAACAAUUAAGCACUCCCCUAGACCGACGUUUGUUCGAUCAUGCUCUCACAUCUCACCUUACCUGAGCGUCGAUCCAUUCAAAAACUGAAUGGCCUCAAAAAUAACAAUACACAUGUAUGCAAUACCCACCCGGUUGUGGGUUAUGGUUUUCAAAUAAGCCACCUAAUAGUCCUUAACUUAGGGCUUAACAGAGGAUGUCGCUAGCAUUAUAGUUUUUCCAAGCUAUUUUUCAAAACCAAACAAUGUGUUUAGUUGAAAAUAGGUUUUCUAAAACCAAAACUUUUGUUUUGAAAAUAUGUAUGUGACUAUAUAUACUUAAUCCUGCUCCGAUACCAGCUGUGGCAGAACCUCCCAAGUUAUCGGGCCCACAUGCACCUGUCCUUGUCUCAAAGACCUCAGACAGCUAUGCAUGUGCACCAGAUAACUUAACAGGAUCCGUCCGAAUGUCUCAAGGACCUUGGAUAAACCACUUACAACCAGGACCGCAGGAUAAAGUAAAUACAAAUCACACACCAAUAAUUUUGCAGCGGAAAUCUUAUUAUCAAAUUUUUACAUUAUAUUUAUCGGAGUGAUUACAAAAGUAUAAGUUUGAAAUAUAUGCUAGCUCAAGUGACCAUCCUCAAUAGGAAGUAUAGAAGGGUUACUUAGACUUAUAAGAAGGCCGAGCCCACCGGCACUUAACACCAUCAAUAGCAGCACAAAACUAUAACCUGAAAAACAACAGGGAAUAAAACCCUGAGUACGGAAUUACUCAGCAAGACUUACCCGACUAAAAAAAAGACUCUCAAGGGUAUGCUGGCUAGAGGGAUUCAAGGUAUGACUUAUCAAAAAUCAAAGACUCUGUUUUGCAGAAGAGCUUACUAGUAGUAAAUCCUUAUGCCAAAAUUUUACUUCACCAGUUAAGUACUUUUCCUGAAUCUAGAUUUGUCUAAUCUAGAGCAUUCACUUGUCCUGGUCUAGCUUUCUUUUAGCCAAUUCAUAUUUCACUUGUCAACUACGAUGAGUGGUCGGAGGGUAGAGUCUCCAUUACCGAGGAGCAACGACGAUUCGAACCGAUUAUACCCAGCUGGGGAUCCCUAACCACACGAUAUAUGUAGCACUUAACCCUUGCAUAUGUCAACCGUUCCCACAGAUCCUCCACAACGUGAACCGGUCCGCGCUACCCGGGAGCACAGUACUCCUCCAUCCAGCCUCUAGCCAGGAGGGUACACGCUACUCCCACCAUCUCCCACGCCCAGUGCGCGGUUGUCUUUUCACGUAUGGAAUAGCCGGGUUUAGGCUUACCGGAGCAUAUGGCUAGUUGCAAGGUCUCCACCACAACAGGCCUACAUCGAACGGUCCUUAAUCGACACAGACGGGCGACCACGUCCGCUCAGCGUCUGGUCUAGAUGUAUUCAAACCAUUUUCCCAUUUUUGGUACCCGACAGGGGUACUCUUUUCCAAAUGAUAAACCCACUCCGGCCGAAGUGGAAUCAUCACCAUAAGUUUGCUUUGAUUUUUGAAACGAAAGGCCCAUAACCAAUGUGCCACAAUCAUUCUUUUUGAAAACAAAUGAUUUUUCAGUUUCUAAGCAGGGCUAAGCAUUAUCAGUUCUUUUUAUAAAACCGGGAUUCAGGAGUUUCCGAGGAAUGGUAAUGCAUCAAUUGUUUAUCACACAACUCCUAUCACCUAAUGCAUCAGAUAAGGUGAAAAGGCAUUUAAAACACAAGAAAGGGGCAAAUGCACCGGGGCUUGCCUGGGUAACACUAUGUUAGUGUUUGUUAGACGACAUCCACUUGACGAUCAUCCUUGUCCUAACACUUGAUCAGGCAAGUUCGUUCAUCAGCAUCUCCAUGCGGAGUAGCCCGCGCUUGGGGUCAACUUGAGUCAUCUUCCGCAUCACGUGAUUAAUUAUCGCACCUGAAUGAAAUGCAUUAUGCAUAUGAAUGCAUAUAGACAGGAAUAUCAUAAAUCUAAAUAGUGCUAUACGAUAGUGUAUUAAACACCUAGUGGCGAGGCGUUAUACAAUCUUACACGGAAACACUAGUUAUUAAUAUACGACUACGCACUAUAAAUAUGCUUCUUUAAGUUAAACAAACUUAACGCAAACAUCACGAGCAACAAAUUAUACACAUGAAACGCAAUUAGCCUACUCAACUCAUCAGCUAAUUAAUUAAAUUCUAAAAUUAUCCCUCAUUUUAUAAAUGAUACUACAUCGUUCACAAUUAAUCAAACAUUUCUUUAUCACACAGACCUACUAAUAUUCUACUCGGUAUACUAAUUUAGUUAAUUGACCGGAAUAGCGACAUAACUCGCUAUAACUGAAUCUGGCUCGAUACUCGCAAAAACCGCGAAGUCGACGAGAGUUUCGUGACUCACGCAAUUAAUCGAGCACCUUAAUGAGCAUCGCACUAGCACAUUAAUUUAUUUAUCGAUCGAACUAUUCUGAAUAAUUUAUCAGCUUACCGUUUCCACAGCUGACACGAAUCCGCGAGAUCGGUAGCGAUUUUCCGAUCUAGGAAAUUUGUCGAGCGAUUGGGGAAUAUCGCGCUGUUGGCUACGUCUUCAUUCGACGCUUGGGAUUUCUUGACGACACAACUUCAACGACGAUAUAGGAGGGUGGCAUAUAUAGAGCUGCACACACGACGCGACGAACUAAGUCGCGAGGUCGGUCGACAAGGGAUUUCAAGGAACACGAUGGUCAGUCGGCGAGCUGGCAAGUUCGGAUAGGGACGGCUGACGUGAGGACCAUGAUGAAUAUGAAAUUGAUGACCGACCAAAAUAUGAUUGGUGAGUUGAGAAACUCCGAUGAUUUGACGGCAGUCGCGACGGCGAAUAGGAGGACGCGCGCGUAAUGGGAAGAUCUCACGGCCACUAGAAUGAGCUGUGAUAUUCGGACUUGGCGACAACAACGAGCUGGAGCGUUGGCGAGCUUGAAAAUUCAAUGGCGAAAUCGGCGGCGAACAGAGAAACCGGCUACGCGCAGGGAGGAGAAGACCGGGCGCGCAGAGCUUGGACCAGGGGCGCGCGAUUGGAGCAAGCGGACACCUGGGGCAGAACCGGGCUCGGGGAGAAGCUCGGCCGGACACCAGAGCUGGCAGCUCGGCGCGGCGUGGAGAGCAGGGAGGCGGGCGCGCCGGGCAGGAAGGAGCUCCAACCGGGUGCCAUGGAUUGCGGGGCAGAGAAGAAGACGCGGCGCCACGGAGAUCCGAACUGCGACCGGGACGUGCGCCAGGGAGCUCGGCCGAGCGCCAUCGGGGCGAGCCGAGGGAGAAAGAAAGGCAGGGCCGAGCUGAGGACUUGGCCGGGACGCGACGAUGGGAGCUGCCAUGGACGAGCUCACGGCCGGCGAGCAGAAGGAGCGUGCGCGAGAACCCGGCCGGACUCGAGGAUGAGCGAGCGAGCUGGACCGGACACCGGAAUGGCUGGGUGCACGGGGAAGAAGAAGAGGAGGGAGGAGCAGCGAACUGCGCUAGUGAGCAGAGGGGAAGAGAUAAGGCCGAGCGUCAGGGGAGAACGGUGGCGGAAUCUUCACCGGCGGUGAGCGGCGGCCAAAAAAUAUCACGCAGUCAGGUACGAUGGCUGGAUUUUCCUCUAGAAGCUGGAAGAAUGUCGUGCGGGAGAAGACGACGAGCGGCUAGAGGAUAAGGAGCUGCUGUCCGUAGAAAUAUCCUGGGCAGAGGGCGGCGAGAGGAUGAGACCAAGAGAAAUAUCCAGAGAGCCGUAAGGGAGAUAUUGGUACAUGAAAAGAUAAGGCUUGAGAGAAAUG
This 8179-nucleotide long non-coding RNA is filed under the name Zea mays. RNAcentral describes it as "long non-coding RNA (ZMAY_LNC005603)". The record is from RNAcentral. Lineage: Eukaryota; Viridiplantae; Streptophyta; Magnoliopsida; Poales; Poaceae.